CACAACAUCAUUUGCUGUUAUGUACAUCUAGGAUGCGAUCAAUCCAGAUGAGAUUCUCUCCAAUGCCAGCAAACCGACAGUGGAAGACACGAGCCAGCACUUCUCCCACCACAUUGCCUCAGGCUUUUGAGAUACCGACUUAUAACUGCUUCUCCCCCCUAUGUUGGAAUCACCGGGGCCUCCAUCGCCCGGCAUGUACACGCUACAUUAGGUGUAGGUAAGACGCACACUCACUGCUUCCCUGGUGCUUGUGUUCUCAAUGUUUCUGUGCAGGUGCCUGGGAUAAUGAAGACAAUUUGGGUUGUCGUGUUACACGCCAGGUGAACAACAUCAGAGUGCGGCAGUCAGAGAUCCUAAAGAAGGACUCCAUAUGUUUAGUCGAGACAGUACGCCGUACAUCUCUUACGACGAGGAUAUUUGUUUCAGGACCGCUUUCCCGAUACUGACAAGGACAUUUAAGCAUUUAUGUGAGCUGCAGUCUGGAUCCUGCCUCUGUCAGAUGACCUAACACAAAUGGAAAGAUGACAUCGACCCUUGCAAGGACUUCAGACGAUCCCAGCACUGGACUACAUACAGUGGUAAUCAUAUUUUCAGUAGUCCGUGUCAAAUUUUCUUUCAAGGUAAGAUAGCUUUACAUGUUUUUUAUUGUGCUUUAGUGGUCACACAGGCCCGGUUUAUGUUCUUAACCAGCAUGAGUUUAUUUAUUGUGAUAUACACAAAACAAGAUAUUUUGAUAAAUGAUGUUAAGUACACAGCUGCUCAUUUACUUCAAUAAAAUGUCUUUUUCCUAUUAUGGAAGUCAAUGGGUACCAUCAACUGUAUGAUUGACAUCAUUUAUCAGAUUAAAGAAUUUUUGGCAAGUUUAUAACAACAUGAAGUGUUUGGGUGAGAUCUAGACCGAGGACUAAGGCGUAUACUAGGACAGAACUAGGUGUUGUGGCCCACAGGUGAUCCUAAAGCAACAAAGAGGAACCAUGGAGAGGAAGAAGUAGUAUCCAGAUGUUUAAAAGGCGGUGUUCGGGACAGGAAACAAAGGCAACAAAGAGGAACCUCUAAGGUUUAAAGGCACUGCUUGCAGAGACGAGUGCAGAAAAUAAAGACAGAAGACCUGUCGAGAAUGUUUUAUGAUUAAAUGUUUUUGUUAUGUACAUGCACAUUAUUAUUUACAAUAUAUUUCUAAGAUACAUAAAUAUGUGACCUUGUAUAUGAAAUCCAGGCUACUGUCUUAAAAUCUAAUGACAUCUAAAGUUUGAAUUUACUGAUUUAACAUUGAGUUCAGUCUUUGGCAUGACCUUACUCAGUCAGUAUUGAAUAUGUCAAGAUUAUAUUUUCAGAGAAUGUUUUCUGAAUUGUGUAGGAUGAUUUUAUGUAGAAAACAGUAAGUCACAAAGAAAUACUUUGCUGGGUUUUCACAGGCCGUGUCCCAUUUGUACAACAUAUGUGAAUUAUCUUGAGACUAAAACUUCUGAAAUCCAAACUGUUAUAUUUUAGCAUUUCAAAUGCAGCCACCCUUUGCCUAGAAUUUGAAAUAUAUACCCUUGGGUUUUUUCAGUAAUUUUUUGACAUCUCACCCUGAGAUAUUUUUAAAGAAAUUUCUAUGUAUUAUGGGCUUGAAUUA
This is a non-coding RNA of Paramisgurnus dabryanus, 1618 nucleotides long. Lineage: Eukaryota; Metazoa; Chordata; Actinopteri; Cypriniformes; Cobitidae. The record is from RefSeq and is a predicted model, not a curated record.